Gallus gallus (chicken) is the source of this 755-nucleotide long non-coding RNA. NCBI's taxonomy places the organism in Eukaryota, Metazoa, Chordata, Aves, Galliformes, Phasianidae. The record is from Ensembl.
CUCAUCAUAAAUCAACAAGCAAACAAAAAAAUCCACUAUCAGUAUUCCUGAGACCUGGCUACAAAGGCAGGACUGUGGAUUUGAAACGUCACGCGGCAACUAUGUGAAUAUUCAGAAUAAUCUGUCAUUUGUUUGCAUGCUCUGACUUCCUCCAUUAGGACAACACUGAUAAUCAGAGCGUUUGGCCCUUCCACAGAGCUUUUAACACAGGAAAGCCAUAGAAAGAGUUAAACAAGGUUUAAUUCUCUGGAAUGCCCACACCCCGGUGUGGGAUCAUCUUGUCAGCAGGGAGCGACGUUCCAGCAAAGGUUCUGCAUGGACAGAAGUGGUACUGUGAGCCCGGUUGGACGGCACACCUCACUGCGAGGCUCUGAGAAAUGAGCAGACCCAAUGCACAUCCGAGAGGGCGUUAUUAUUUUCCCAAUUAAGACACUUAAUUAGCACUGCGGUGUGCCACCUUCAUCGUAUUUUCAGUCUCACAGCGGCCUAUUUUCAUCCAUCCACCACGCUAAAAGCGUUGCUCUUUCAUUACCCCUCCGUGAGUACACAGCUCUGACGAACCCGGCACUUCAUCCGCGGGGAUAAAAGUUUCGCGGCUCCCGACAGCGGCUCUCAAAGGCAGCCUUUCUUUUCAGAACGGCUCCCGAACCCACUCUAUUUGCACUCCAUGCCCUCGGAGCCGCCGAGCCCCGCGGAGGGCCCGCACACGGUGACACUCCGUCAUUAUCCCCACUUCCUUCUCCUGCGCAUUCCAU